Molecule: transfer RNA, 66 nt
Filed under: Esmaeilius sophiae
Lineage: Eukaryota; Metazoa; Chordata; Actinopteri; Cyprinodontiformes; Aphaniidae
Description: tRNA-Tyr
Rfam family: tRNA
About the family: Transfer RNA (tRNA) molecules are approximately 80 nucleotides in length. Their secondary structure includes four short double-helical elements and three loops (D, anti-codon, and T loops). Further hydrogen bonds mediate the characteristic L-shaped molecular structure. tRNAs have two regions of fundamental functional importance: the anti-codon, which is responsible for specific mRNA codon recognition, and the 3' end, to which the tRNAs corresponding amino acid is attached (by aminoacyl-tRNA synthetases). tRNAs cope with the degeneracy of the genetic code in two manners: having more than one tRNA (with a specific anti-codon) for a particular amino acid; and 'wobble' base-pairing, i.e. permitting non-standard base-pairing at the 3rd anti-codon position.
Source: RNAcentral
UAAAAUGGCUGAGUGUCAAGUGGUGGAUUGUAGCUCCAUGAACAGAGGUUAAACUCCUCUUUUUAC